RNAcentral lists this long non-coding RNA (1257 nucleotides) under Pectinophora gossypiella (pink bollworm). RNAcentral's name for it is "uncharacterized LOC126377763". The record is from RNAcentral. Lineage: Eukaryota; Metazoa; Arthropoda; Insecta; Lepidoptera; Gelechiidae.
GGCUACCGGCUAAGACGAAGCCGAUUCAGAUUGGAGCAAAUCGAACAUCGAUUUGAUUCUGUCGUACCGCGUAAGCAGCCAAGAUGGCGAUCCCCGAUUCGUGACGUCACAUGAAGUUCGGCAAGCCGAUUGAACGAAUGAUUUCAGUACUUUUGACACUAAAUCGCUACCGCGUAAAAAAUCGAAGUUCGGCGCCUGAAGCCGAUUCCCAUUGGAAGUGUCAGUUGAAGCCGGGCACUUUUCAGUAACCGUGAUCAAUUUUAAUUUCUUAUUUUCACUGUUUUUCAACAAUAUUAGGAGCUAUUUACGGUGGGCGACAAAUUUUAGGAACAUCUUAAUCAAUAUAAAAUUGAUAUCGGCGUGGAUUUUCGUGUUUAAAUACCUAAAUACAGUGUCAUGGAGAUAGUCGUUUUAUGGGCUGCUGCGGAAGAAAAUGUCUUCAGAAUCUUGAGCAAAUCGAUUGCAGGAUACUUCGAGAGAAAAGCCAGUAUAUACUUCUCACAGGUACAUCUAUUUAUAACAUUAUUUCUAACAAGUGGCUCAAUGUUUACAGAGGAAAAGUUGCUGAACUUACUAGAAGCGAUUUUUGAUCAUUUCAUACUUAUCUAUUUUGUUUUGUUUCAGAGAGUAGCUACAUUAAUAAUUUUAGAUUAUCAAAAGAUGCAUUUCGGACUUUGUAUCAUGACUUAGGACCAUAUUUGGAGGUCCAAUGCUCUACAACUGUGCAAUCGACUUUAAGUGACAAAUGCCCUCAAUCAGCCUGCAAUCGUGAGAUAAUAUAUCAAGUUUCCUCGGACAAAAACUGAGCAUGUAGAAGUCUCCAGAGGUUUUAAUGACAAAUUUGGAUUUCUUGGAGUACUUGGAUGCAUCCACGGCACACACAUUGCCAUUAUCCAACCUCACAAGUGGGAAGAGGCCUUCUUCAAUAGCAAGUAUUACCAUUCAUUGCAUGUUAUGUUGGUUUGUGAUGGAGAUAUGUGCAUUACAUUUGUGAUGCAUCCAAUGGGAGUGUUAGUGCUAGACUGCUAGCCAAGAUAACCAUAUUUGGAACAACAGCACUUUGAGAAGGGAAAAGGAACAUCUCCUUAAUUUAAAUAUGUUUAAGUUCAUUAAGUGGACUUGUGUGGUCCUUGAAAUGUAAAUUACAAAGUCAGUGUGGUGUAAUCAAAAGUGGCAGAUUUGUUAUUCAAUAAUACAACAUCUAAACAAACCUUUCUUUAUUGGCAUCAAAUAAACUAUUUUCAUUACGCAGAUUUA